GCAAUGGUUUUAAAAUAGGGAAAAAGAGACUCUGACUCUGUUUGUGAGGGUUCGAAUCCUUCUCCCGCUGCCA
Molecule: transfer RNA, 73 nt
Filed under: Caudoviricetes sp.
Lineage: Duplodnaviria; Heunggongvirae; Uroviricota; Caudoviricetes
Description: tRNA-Ser
Source: RNAcentral